This is a long non-coding RNA of Carassius gibelio (silver crucian carp), 541 nucleotides long. RefSeq lists it as uncharacterized. The transcript has 3 exons. The record is from RefSeq and is a predicted model, not a curated record. NCBI's taxonomy places the organism in Eukaryota, Metazoa, Chordata, Actinopteri, Cypriniformes, Cyprinidae.
UCAUUAUUAACAUUCUGUAUAUAAUUCAAUUUUAUUUACUCUCCCCUUUUUAUUAUUUUUAUUUUUAGCUGAAAAGACGUUAAGGCAGUCAGCCCAGUGGUGUUUCUGGAGAGGGAUUCCUUCAGAAAUGGAGAAGACAGAAAGCUGCGGAGGCAGAUAUAUGCAGCAGUCUAAAAUAUCAAGCUCAACAGCUCACUCAAGAGCCAACCCUCACAAACCUUCCUAAAAACUAAAAGAGCUAUUACUGAGUCUCAGCGAAUCUUGCCAUGAUCAGCUCUUCCCAGAAGAGAAGGCAGACCAAGGAAAUGAUUUGCUCAGGAUGAGGAAUGAAGAUGGCCAUAUUGUGCUCAAACAAACAGAAGUCCUCUGGUAUGUGUGUGUUGAAGCAAUGCUGUGUUAUACAACAUUUUAUGAUGAUCUCUCACAGAACUGGUCAUGUCAGCCUUGAUUUCUUUUUUUACUAUUACAAUUACAGCAUGUUAGCAAAGUGUGACUGGACAUUUUUAAUAUUAUGUUUUUAAAAACACACCACCUGUUUUAA